AGUGAACGCUGGCGGCAGGCCUAACACAUGCAAGUCGAACGGCAGCGGGUAGGAAGCUUGCUUCCUAUGCCGGCGAGUGGCGAACGGGUGAGUAAUGCAUCGGAAUCUACCUGUCCGUGG
This 120-nucleotide ribosomal RNA is filed under the name uncultured bacterium. RNAcentral's name for it is "partial 16S ribosomal RNA". It matches the Rfam family "Bacterial small subunit ribosomal RNA", at positions 29 to 139 of the family's 1533-position model. The record is from RNAcentral.